GGGGUUGGGGCUCAGUGGUAGAGCACUUGCCUCACACGUGUGAGGCACUGGGUUCGACUCUCAGCACCA
Molecule: transfer RNA, 69 nt
Filed under: Ictidomys tridecemlineatus (thirteen-lined ground squirrel)
Lineage: Eukaryota; Metazoa; Chordata; Mammalia; Rodentia; Sciuridae
Description: Spermophilus tridecemlineatus (thirteen-lined ground squirrel) tRNA
Rfam family: tRNA
About the family: Transfer RNA (tRNA) molecules are approximately 80 nucleotides in length.
Source: Rfam by way of RNAcentral